ACAAGGUCUUGGUCUUAACCUAUUAUUACCUCCCCCCUCUAAUUAUACAUGCAAGCCUCACCACUACAGUGAAAUAGCCCACCACCCACAACAUCGGAGCCGGUAUCAGGUAACCGCCAAUGACACCAAGCCAACUUAAGCCACACCCCCACGGGCCCGCAGCAGUAGUUAAUAUUAGGCCAUAAGCGAUUUUAAAACUUGACCUAGUAAAGGGAAUUUUAGGGCCGGUUAAUCUCGUGCCAGCGACCGCGGUUAUACGACAGACCCAAGGCAAUAGUGCCGGCGUAAAGCACGACCAGAUUAAUAAUAACUAUUGGGAACGAAUCUACCCCAGGCUGUAAAAAGCCAUAAGACACAAUAACCCCCCCCCCAUACAAAACAAUUUCAACUCGUGAAAGUAGGAAUACAAACUAAGAUUAGAUACCUUACUAUGCCUAACCUAACACACAAUAAAAUCACCAAUUGUUCGCCAAAUAACUACGAGUAAAAACUUAAAAUUUAAAAGACUUGACGGUACUUCACACCACCCUAGAGGAGCCUGUCCAAUAACCGAUACCCCACGAUUAACCCAACCCCCCCUAGCCCCCCAGUCUAUAUACCGCCAUCGCCAGCUUACCUUGUGAAAGAAACAAAGCGAGCCCAAAAGCAGUCAUCACUAACACGAUAGGUCGAGGUGUAACUAAUGGGCGGGGACAAGAUGGGCUACAUUUUCUAAUAUAGAAAACACGAAUAAACUAUGAAAGUAUAAACCGAAGGUGGAUUUAGCAGUAUGCUAAGGACAAAAUACUUAACUGAAACAAACGCAAUGAAGUGCGUACACACCGCCCGUCAUCCCUGCCUAAAAAAAAUAAACUCUAUAAAUCAACAUAACCCCCAAACAGGGCAAGUCGUAACAUGGUAAGCGUACUGGAAAGUGCGCUUAGAAACA
RNAcentral lists this non-coding RNA (928 nucleotides) under Fowlea piscator (Checkered keelback). The record is from RNAcentral. Lineage: Eukaryota; Metazoa; Chordata; Lepidosauria; Squamata; Natricidae.